UACGUAGGGGCCAAGCGUUGUCCGGAAUCAUUGGGCGUAAAGGGCGCGUAGGCGGCUUGAUAAGUCGGGUGUUAAAUCUACAGGCUCAACCUGUAGCCGCACUCGAUACUGUCUUGCUGGAGAAUGGUAGAGGAAAGCGGAACUUUCGGUGUAGCGGUGAAAUGCGUAGAUAUCGAAAGGAACACCAGUGGCGAAGGCGGCUUUCUGGGCCAUUUCUGACGCUGAGGCGCGAAAGCCAGGGGAGC
This 245-nucleotide ribosomal RNA is filed under the name uncultured Bacillota bacterium. RNAcentral describes it as "uncultured Firmicutes bacterium partial 16S ribosomal RNA". It matches the Rfam family "Bacterial small subunit ribosomal RNA", at positions 524 to 769 of the family's 1533-position model. Lineage: Bacteria; Bacillati; Bacillota. The record is from RNAcentral.